This 857-nucleotide ribosomal RNA is filed under the name uncultured fungus. Its description in RNAcentral is "SSU rRNA". It matches the Rfam family "Eukaryotic small subunit ribosomal RNA", at positions 563 to 1453 of the family's 1831-position model. Lineage: Eukaryota; Fungi. The record is from RNAcentral.
UGUGCCAGCCGCCGCGGUAAUUCCAGCUCCAAUAGCGUAUAUUAAAGUUGUUGCAGUUAAAAAGCUCGUAGUUGAACCUUGGGCCUGGCUGGCCGGUCCGCCUCACCGCGUGCACUGGUCCGGCCGGGCCUUUCCUCCUGGGGAGCCGCAUGCCCUUCACUGGGUGUGUCGGGGAACCAGGACUUUUACUUUGAAAAAAUUAGAGUGUUCAAAGCAGGCCUAUGCUCGAAUACAUUAGCAUGGAAUAAUAGAAUAGGACGUGUGGUUCUAUUUUGUUGGUUUCUAGGACCGCCGUAAUGAUUAAUAGGGAUAGUCGGGGGCAUCAGUAUUCAAUUGUCAGAGGUGAAAUUCUUGGAUUUAUUGAAGACUAACUACUGCGAAAGCAUUUGCCAAGGAUGUUUUCAUUAAUCAGUGAACGAAAGUUAGGGGAUCGAAGACGAUCAGAUACCGUCGUAGUCUUAACCAUAAACUAUGCCGACUAGGGAUCGGGCGAUGUUAUCUUUUUGACUCGCUCGGCACCUUACGAGAAAUCAAAGUUUUUGGGUUCUGGGGGGAGUAUGGUCGCAAGGCUGAAACUUAAAGAAAUUGACGGAAGGGCACCACCAGGAGUGGAGCCUGCGGCUUAAUUUGACUCAACACGGGGAAACUCACCAGUCCAGACACAAUAAGGAUUGACAGAUUGAGAGCUCUUUCUUGAUUUUGUGGGUGGUGGUGCAUGGCCGUUCUUAGUUGGUGGAGUGAUUUGUCUGCUUAAUUGCGAUACGACGAGACUUACCUGCUAAAUAGCCCGCUAGCUUUGGCUGGUCGCUGGCUUCUUAAAGGGACUAUCGGCCUCAGCCGAUGGAAGUUUGAGGCCA